CCUACGGGGUGCAGCAGUCGGGAAUAUUGCGCAAUGGAGGAAACUCUGACGCAGUGACGCCGCGUAUAGGAAGAAGGUUUUCGGAUUGUAAACUAUUGUCGUUAGGGAAGAUAAAAGACUGUACCUAAGGAGGAAGCCCCGGCUAACUAUGUGCCAGCAGCCGCGGUAAUACGUAGGGGGCAAGCGUUAUCCGGAUUUACUGGGUGUAAAGGGAGCGUAGACGGCGAUGCAAGUCUGAAGUGAAAGGCGGGGGCCCAACCCCCGGACUGCUUUGGAAACUGUAUGGCUGGAGUGCAGGAGAGGUAAGUGGAAUUCCUAGUGUAGCGGUGAAAUGCGUAGAUAUUAGGAGGAACACCAGUGGCGAAGGCGGCUUACUGGACUGUAACUGACGUUGAGGCUCGAAAGCGUGGGGAGCAAACAGGAUUAGAUACCCCUGUAGUC
This 441-nucleotide ribosomal RNA is filed under the name uncultured bacterium. Its description in RNAcentral is "partial 16S ribosomal RNA". It matches the Rfam family "Bacterial small subunit ribosomal RNA", at positions 338 to 795 of the family's 1533-position model. The record is from RNAcentral.